RNAcentral lists this ribosomal RNA (230 nucleotides) under uncultured bacterium. Its description in RNAcentral is "partial 16S ribosomal RNA". It matches the Rfam family "Bacterial small subunit ribosomal RNA", at positions 561 to 790 of the family's 1533-position model. The record is from RNAcentral.
UAAAGCGUGCGCAGGCGGUUAUGUAAGACAGAUGUGAAAUCCCCGGGCUCAACCUGGGAACUGCAUUAGUGACUGCAUAGCUGGAGUACGGCAGAGGGGGAUGGAAUUCCGCGUGUAGCAGUGAAAUGCGUAGAUAUGCGGAGGAACACCGAUGGCGAAGGCAAUCCCCUGGGCCUGUACUGACGCUCAUGCACGAAAGCGUGGGGAGCAAACAGGAUUAGAUACCCCAU